Molecule: long non-coding RNA, 522 nt
Filed under: Strigops habroptila (Kakapo)
Lineage: Eukaryota; Metazoa; Chordata; Aves; Psittaciformes; Psittacidae
Description: lncRNA (ENSSHBG00005011866.1)
Source: RNAcentral
AAAAUAACAAAGACGAUCUUCAUACUCCAGUUAAUGAUGUUCAAAGUAAAGCAACUGCAAAACCAAAAUCCACGAGAAACAAAACCGGCAAAGGACAACGGAAAGCAGCGUCAGAAGUGAGGUCCAUGAGCAGAAGGAAAACUGGCACAACUGCAGAAUGCGGCAGUGCAAGUGGUGAUGAGAUUCCAGAAUCUGUCCCAGCGUCCAGUUCAAGGCCUUCAAGACGAGCAAAAACGGUGGCACUUGAAAAAACGAGAAUGAAUCUUUCAAGACUUUUGAGUAGAGAAGCAGAUCAGUGAAGACAAAAGGAGAGAAGGUGUCCUUUGCUGCUGCUGGUAGUUAACAUCAGUCUUGAAACAUAAGAUUUGUUUUGUUGUUAGCCAUAUUUGACUCUUUUUAUACUAUGAUCAUUUAUAAUUCUAGAAUUUUCUAUGAACUUUUAAAUUCUUUUUCAAAUAGAUGAAUUUGAUGAUUUUCCCCAAUAUGAAGUCCAUCAUUCAUGUAAUAAAACCAUAUUAAAAU